UACGUAGGAGGCAAGCGUUGUCCGGAAUUACUGGGCGUAAAGCGCGUGUAGGUGGUGGGACAAGUCUGCUGUGAAAGCGCCUGGCUUAACCGGGCGAGGUCGGCGGAAACUGUCCGACUCGAGGACGGUAGAGGGGGGGUGGAAUUCCCGGUGUAGUGGUGAAAUGCGUAGAGAUCGGGAGGAACACCUGUGGCGAAGGCGGCCCCCUGGGCCGUGACUGACGCUGAGGCGCGAAAGCUAGGGGAGCAAACAGG
This 254-nucleotide ribosomal RNA is filed under the name uncultured bacterium. Its description in RNAcentral is "partial 16S ribosomal RNA". It matches the Rfam family "Bacterial small subunit ribosomal RNA", at positions 524 to 776 of the family's 1533-position model. The record is from RNAcentral.